ACCUGCACCGGUUGCCCGGUCGCAAAUCCCGCUGCUUCCAGCCAGUUCCCCUUCAAAUGCAAACUGGGGGACUGGCUGUAAUGGCGGGUCAUGCCGGUGUUGCGGUCGGCAUGGCGGGUACUG
This 123-nucleotide small RNA is filed under the name Xenorhabdus szentirmaii DSM 16338. RNAcentral's name for it is "isrA Hfq binding RNA". It matches the Rfam family "isrA Hfq binding RNA". The record is from Rfam by way of RNAcentral. Lineage: Bacteria; Pseudomonadati; Pseudomonadota; Gammaproteobacteria; Enterobacterales; Morganellaceae.